AUAUAUAUAUAUAUUUAUAUAUAUAUAUAUAUAUAUAUAUAUAUAUAUAUAUAUUAUAUAUCAAAGAAUUUUUAGAAAUUGAUUAAUGAUGUGAAUUUCUGAAAUUGAAAGAAAUAUCAUUGCAUGUUUUUUUUUUUUACAUCUGGCUACUGUACAACAGGCUGGAAACUUGAAAAGGAAUAUGAAACAGUCUCCAUUUUAACAUUCUAAAACCACAAAUAAAAAUUCCCUUAAUGAUUUUUGGCACCAGCUAAGAUUCCUCAAAUUCCUAAGUGUCUGGACUCCAUUUAUCUCACUAAAGAGAUGGAUGCUGGCAGAAGAGGGAAAAAAAAAUAAAAAACAGGACACUCACUUACUCUAUCCGUUCAUUCCUGUCCUCUUGUUCUCUUAAGAGUCACAGGUCCUGACAAUACAGCCUCUGUUCUAUGAGGAAGAACUCAGACCAGAAGAAAGGCACUCAGCAAGGAAAUAAGUAAGCAAUACUCCAGCCACAAGUACUCCAUCUGAACACUUGCCUCUGUUUUAGUUUAAAUAACAAGGAUUUGUUAUAUAUAAAUAUAUAUUUCCACCCCAAAAUAAAAGAGAUUUUAAAACAAAUAGAUAAUAGAAAAAAAAUUGCUAGCAAAUAUACUGCAGUUAUAACUAUAACUAUUAAUUCAUGAACACUUUUUUUUGCACUGGAAGGCAGUGGCUUAACUCAUCUUAGCUAUAUUUAGGUCUUUUUUGCAAGUUUUUAGUAAGAUUUAAAACUAGUUGUGAUCCAAUUCCUGUGUGAGAAAACACAGACCCAGAGUUUUCCCUCUCGGUCACCCACAAUGCAGCCACCAUGCUUGUGCAGGUAUCUGCUGACUAUCAUUAUGACCUCUCAAAACACUUCUAAGAACUAUCAGCGUUUUGGCUUCACUGAACAACAUCACACCAGAAAUCGCACUUAAAGCUUUCACGUUUUUAGCCACUUUAUCAUAAUUUUUUUUUUUAAAGUACAACUGACAGUUUUUCAUUUACAACGUCUGUUCUGGGAAGCUCAGUAAACCCCUAAACUCGACUACAGCUGAGAUCCUUUGUAAAUGUAUAAUGACUCACCAAUACAGUGUAAUACUGGAUCAUUUAGGUCUACAGAGAAGAAUAUUAAACUGUUAACAGGCCUUCUUAGGUAGUUUCAGACUGAUGCAACAUUGAGACAUUAAAAUCCACAGAAACCCAGCAAGCCUUUCCAGUCUCAGACCUGAUAGUUAGACAUAGCCAGACUUCUAGCUAUUGGCAAAAGUCUGCAUCACUUUGCAGUGUAUUCUGACCAAGAACCACCCACUUAGACAGGAAGAGAAUUUCUGUGCAUGAAAAAACUCAUGAUAAUUUCACACAGUCAAAUAUAUAACUCUGCUGUAGUUUACUUGAUAAAAGUGUCUAAAACAAAACUUUAAACACUGGCUUCCACAAAUCUAGCAAACUUUUAAUUCUCCUAAAAAGUAGUAACACUGUAUAAAACCUGUAUACUCUGCAUACAGCCAGACAAUGAUAUAGAAACUUGGGGUUAAAAUAUCUUGCCUUUUUCUAAUGUAAUAUUAACAGCAUACUGUCAAUAAACAUCUAUAACUGAGAUAACAGAUCUGAUCAAAAUUGCUAAAUGCUAAACAAUGUUAUGCUAUAACUACAGGUUUGAAAGUAAUUUGGCUAAAUGUACAAACCUUCAUUAAUGGCAUCAGCUCUCAGAAAAGCC
Molecule: long non-coding RNA, 1717 nt
Organism: Cyprinus carpio carpio
Lineage: Eukaryota; Metazoa; Chordata; Actinopteri; Cypriniformes; Cyprinidae
Source: Ensembl